CCCAGCACGCUGCGGCGCUGGCGGCCGCGCGGGAGCGCUUCCCUUCGCCCGGCCUCGUCCGGUGCCCCUGAACCCCCCGUGCUCCCCAACAGCGGGUCCUUCCGUCCAGGGGACGGCGGCAAUGGACACUGAGGGGGUGGGGGGAGGGCCCCCCUAGACCCCCCCGGCCCCACGGAUCCCCGGAAAACCGCACUGCUCGAGGCCCCCCCACAGAUGAGACCUCUCCACCUCCUGCCAAAGAGGCCUCUGGCCACGCGCCUGCGGGAAGGGCUUCAGCCAGAAUUCCAACCUGGCCACGCACCGGUGCAUCCACGCCGGGGAGAAGCCCUUUGGCUGCUGGGACUGCGGGAAGCGCUGCGGGGAGAGCUCGGCACUGGUGCAGCACCGGCGGAUGCACACCUGGGAGCGGCCGUACACAUGCAGGGAAUGCAGGAAGAGCUUCAGCGUCAGCUCCAACUUGUGGCAACACUACCGUACCCAUGGCCGAGAGCGACUCCACCUCUGCCCUGAGUGCGGGAACUUUCUGGAACCCUGUCCAGCUCUGGAGGCACCGCAGGGGGCAUGGGUACAGUGACACCUGGAGGGGCGUCAGGACACCUGGAUGGGUUGGGACACAUGAAUGAGGAUAGGGCCAUCGUAAUGGGGACGCUAGCAUGAGGAUGGGGCGGAGGGGAUGGGAUGGGAACAAGGAUGGAGAUGUGUUGGUUUGGCGCAGCCUGGUUUUUGGCGGGGGGGCGGGUGGUGCCACAGGUGUGGCUUCUCUGAGAAGCGUCUGGAAGCUUCCACCAUAUCCAAUCUGAUGGCUGUGAAGAUGGACGUGCUGCAGGCCCAAUUAGAGAGGUUGGUAACACCUCUGUGAUGACAUAUUUAAGCAGAAAAUCAAAACCGUGUUUGCACGUUUUUUUCCUGGGGUGGCAAAGCCCUGCUGCUGGGGCCAUCCUCGUGCAGCCUGCAGCGAUGCGCUGCAGCCACCGCCAUCUCAGCAAGGCCUGCGGCGAGCCUUGCCUGCCUGGCUGCCCCGAGCCAGCUGCACUGCCGGUGGAAAGGGCAGGGACAGUGGCAGCAGCGUCCCCAUCCCAGCACCCCGCAUGAGGAGAGGCAUUAAACAGCGCCAGCACCGCGGCGGCCGCCACUGCCCUGCAAUGGCAGCAGGGCUGUAUGGCCAGCAGUGGAAGCACAAUGAGCAGCUCCCUGAUGCAGAACCUAGACCAAAUCAACAUAGUGCUGCAUGAUCCUGCAGGAAUCUUUGGACUGGUUCAACUUGUCGGCACUGGUACUGGGAUUUGGGGUAGACUGGAAAUGAAGGGCACUGGGAAUGGGUGUGGGGACACAGGACAUGGGGGACACCAAACACUGGUGGGGGAACACACUGCAAGUAAUGGGGGGACACUAGGGACAGGUGGGCUGUACACUGGGGACAGGGGGGACAAUGAGAAUAAGUUUGGGGACCCUGGGAAUGGGUGGGGGCCAGACUGGGAAUGGGUUGUGGGGACACUGGGAGUGGGAGGUCAUAUGGGGUCACCACUCUUCCCACAGAUCCGGGGGCACAGUCCUAACCCUUCCCCCCUGU
This is a long non-coding RNA of Zonotrichia leucophrys gambelii, 1570 nucleotides long. RefSeq lists it as uncharacterized. The record is from RefSeq and is a predicted model, not a curated record. Lineage: Eukaryota; Metazoa; Chordata; Aves; Passeriformes; Passerellidae. The transcript has 3 exons.